This 539-nucleotide ribosomal RNA is filed under the name Vibrio parahaemolyticus. Its description in RNAcentral is "bacterial SSU rRNA". It matches the Rfam family "Bacterial small subunit ribosomal RNA", at positions 342 to 873 of the family's 1533-position model. Lineage: Bacteria; Pseudomonadati; Pseudomonadota; Gammaproteobacteria; Vibrionales; Vibrionaceae. The record is from RNAcentral.
CGGGAGGCAGCAGUGGGGAAUAUUGCACAAUGGGCGCAAGCCUGAUGCAGCCAUGCCGCGUGUGUGAAGAAGGCCUUCGGGUUGUAAAGCACUUUCAGUCGUGAGGAAGGUAGUGUAGUUAAUAGCUGCAUUAUUUGACGUUAGCGACAGAAGAAGCACCGGCUAACUCCGUGCCAGCAGCCGCGGUAAUACGGAGGGUGCGAGCGUUAAUCGGAAUUACUGGGCGUAAAGCGCAUGCAGGUGGUUUGUUAAGUCAGAUGUGAAAGCCCGGGGCUCAACCUCGGAAUUGCAUUUGAAACUGGCAGACUAGAGUACUGUAGAGGGGGGUAGAAUUUCAGGUGUAGCGGUGAAAUGCGUAGAGAUCUGAAGGAAUACCGGUGGCGAAGGCGGCCCCCUGGACAGAUACUGACACUCAGAUGCGAAAGCGUGGGGAGCAAACAGGAUUAGAUACCCUGGUAGUCCACGCCGUAAACGAUGUCUACUUGGAGGUUGUGGCCUUGAGCCGUGGCUUUCGGAGCUAACGCGUUAAGUAGACCGCC